UUUUUUUUUUUUUGCCUUAGGUUUAUUUAGAGUUAAUUACUUAACUCUGCAAGUCUGAAUUUACUCAACUGUAAAAAUAGAGAUGAAACCAAACCUUCCUGUGGGGAUGAUGCACAAUACAAUGUACGUAACAUAUUUAGCUAAUGGCUAGCUAGCUAUCAUGAGCAAUGGAUGAAGGCUAGACUGUGUUUUAAGGUCAAUCAUUCCAUAAAUAGUGACAAGAGAGAAACUCUCCUGUACCUAAAAUAUUAGGAAAACCCCUGUGACGGAUAACCAAAUAUCCCAGUCAUGUAUAUUACAGAUGAACUUCCAUUUCUCAAAAAAUGGAAUUUUAAACGCAUGAUAUAUUACUAUACUUCAUAAAUAUAUUCAUACACAAUAAAAAAGCACUUUAAGAUUUAACAUACUUAUGUUGUUUUGUAAUGUCUGAUUUUAUCCAAAUAUUGAUACUCAAUAUUUUUAGACUUUUAUAUUCCUCAUAGUAAAUCAAAUAAAAAUGAAACCAAAUUUAAAACGUAGAUUAGGUUUGCUUUGUGGCAGAAACGUAAUUCAGGAGAAAGAAAUCUUGACACAUGUUUCAAUUUGGCAGAAUAAAAGUUUUUGUUUGAGACAAGUGAAUUUAAUUUUUGGUAACCAAAUUCGUUGUUUGAAGUCUAAGAUUCACAACAGAGUUAUUAUACACAUAUAAUUGCCCAGUUUUAUACAAGGCUGGUAGAUAGCUCUACAACAUAUCCAACAAACAUUUCUCCCUUUACCCUCCUACUCUUUAGGAAGAUCACAUCUUCUAAACCAUUCUAAGCAAUUCACUUAAAUAUUACUAGGGAAAACCAGACCUGUUAUAAAGAGAUCCAUUUAAAACCUGUCCUAGUAUGAAUCCAUUCAACAAACAUAUUGUGUGCUCAUUUAGUCAAUCAAUUCUGCUUAGUGCAUCAAAAGUCUUUGAUCUGUGAAAUCUCUUUUUUUAUUUUUCAUUUCUUCACAAUUCCUUUUAUGGGAUUUGAAUGUUUUCAUUCUUUUCCUCAUGAUGAUGGAAAAUAAUUUAUCAUAGGAAUCCAGGAAUGGUUUUUUUUUUUUGUUAAAAUUCUCAAGAAUACAGGCCUUCCUUUAUCCAUCUCAGAUAUAAUGUAACAUUUAGAUGCAGAGACCCUAGUGUCAAAUAUACUGGAUGAAAAUCUUGACCCAUCCACUGAUUACGUAACCUUAGGAAAGUUAGUUAAUUUCUCUGUCUCAUUUUCUUAUCUAUGAAAUAGUUGUGAAAACAGCAUUUAUCUUCUAAGUAUCUUGAUAAUUAAUGGAGUUAAUAUUUCUAAAGAACUGAGUACCUCACACACUGUGUAAUGAUUCCCUUAUACAUGAUUUUAUCUAACCAUGUAAAGGAUCUUCUUAUUUUAAAGCCUAACAUAAGAAAUGAAAUGUUAAAAAAAAUAAAAAACAAGAAAUGAAUUGUUAUUUGGAAAAUAGUUAUUCGAUACAUAAAGCACAUAAUUUAUAAUUUCAUCUUUUCUUAAAUAAAACAGUGUCAUCUUUCAUAUGUAUAAAAUCUGCUCUUUUCCAAAGUUCUAGACUAUUUUCAAAGUUUAAAAUAGCUAUAAUUAAAAAAUAGCUAUAAUUUAAUUAAAAAUUACUUAAAACACAAUUAUAUAAACUUUUAUCAUAUAUAUCUCUUACCCAUCCUUUUUCAAAGCAAAAAACUAAUAUAAUAGGGACUAUGAAAUAUUGAAGCCAUUAGUGACCAUAAGACAAUCUUUCACAGCAUUCCUGUUUUACAAACAAGACAGAACUUUAUAAAGAUGCAGCUCAUUCUUCAGAAUUUUCCCUUGAGACAAUAACAGAGCUGGAUGUAGAACUCAAGCCUUCUGACUCCCUGGAUUUCCUGGAGGAAGGAUUUCCUCCACACUGCAAUCAUGCCUCAGAUCUCUAUACAUUAAAUAUUUCAUUAGCUUUCUCUUAUCUCUCCUUCUCCUUGAAGUAUCAUAAUUUGAGCCACCUGUAGUAUUUCUGAAGUCAAGACACUAUGGCUUGGUUUAAA
RNAcentral lists this long non-coding RNA (2029 nucleotides) under Canis lupus familiaris (dog). RNAcentral's name for it is "lncRNA (ENSCAFG00000055810.1)". Lineage: Eukaryota; Metazoa; Chordata; Mammalia; Carnivora; Canidae. The record is from RNAcentral.